UCAAGUGAAUAAGCGCAUAUGGUGGAUGCCUUGGCAGUAAGAGGCGAUGAAGGACGUAGUAGCCUGCGAUAAAGCUUCGGGGAGCUGGCAAACAAGCAAUGAUCCGAAGAUUUCCGAAUGGGGAAACCCAACCCUUCGGGGUUAUCGUGUACUAAAUUCAUAGGUAUACGAAGCAAACCUGGAGAACUGAAACAUCUAAGUAUCCAGAGGAAAAGAAAUCAACCGAGAUUCCGUUAGUAGCGGCGAGCGAAUGCGGAAGAGCCCAGUUACCAAAUCGCUAUUUGUUCUAGCAGAAUGUUCUGGAAAGUUCAGCCAUAGUAGGUGAUAGUCCCGUAUGCGAAAGGCGAAUAGUGUGGAUAACAAUGAGUAGGUCGGGACACGUGUAAUCCUGACUGAAGAUGGGGGGACCAUCCUCCAAGGCUAAAUACUCCUUACUGACCGAUAGUGAACUAGUACCGUGAGGGAAAGGUGAAAAGAACCCCGGCGAGGGGAGUGAAAUAGAACCUGAAACCGUAUGCGUACAAGCAGUCGGAGCAUUUUUCUGAAAUGUGACGGCGUACCUUUUGUAUAAUGGGUCAGCGACUUACUUGUUGUAGCGAGCUUAACCGUUUAGGGGAGGCGUAGAGAAAUCGAGUCUGAAAUGGGCGUUUAGUUGCAAUGAGUAGACCCGAAACCGAGCGAUCUAUCCAUGGCCAGGAUGAAAGUUAGGUAAUACUGACUGGAGGUCCGAACCCACUAAUGUUGAAAAAUUAGGGGAUGAGUUGUGGAUAGGAGUGAAAGGCUAAUCAAGCUCGGAGAUAGCUGGUUCUCCUCGAAAGCUAUUUAGGUAGCGCCUCGUGUAUAAUUCUUGGGGGUAGAGCACUGUUUCGGCUAGGGGACCACCAGGUCUAUCAAACCGAAGCAAACUCCGAAUACCAAUGAAAUUUAGCACGGGAGACACACUGCGGGUGAUAAGGUCCGUGGUGGAAAGGGAAACAGCCCAGACCGUCAGCUAAGGUCCCAAAAUCACAGUUAAGUGGUAAACGAUGUGGGAAGGCUUAGACAGCCAGGAGGUUGGCUUAGAAGCAGCCAUCCUUUAAAGAAAGCGUAAUAGCUCACUGGUCGAGUCGUCCUGCGCGGAAGAUUCAACGGGGCUCAAACUGUGUACCGAAGCUACGGGACUCUUUAUUAAGAGUCGGUAGAGGAGCGUUCUGUAAGCCUGCGAAGGCAAACCGAGAGGUUUCCUGGAGGUAUCAGAAGUGUGAAUGCUGACAUAAGUAACGAUAAUGUGGGUGAAAAACCCACACGCCGAAAGUCUAAGGUUUCCUGCGCAACGUUAAUCGGCGCAGGGUGAGUCGGCCCCUAAGGUGAGGCAGAAAUGCGUAGCUGAUGGAAAACAGGUUAAUAUUCCUGUACUUGUGCAAUACUGCAAUGGGAGGACGGAGAAGGCUAGAUCAGCCGCCCGAUCGGUCGUGGUGGUUUAAGUGUGUAGGGAGAGUACUUUGGUAAAUCCGGGAACUCAAUCUUGAGACAUGAUGACGAAGUACAUACUUGUGUGUACGAAGUGAUUAAUGCCAUGCUUCCAGGAAAAGUCCCUAAGCUUCAGGUAUUGUGGAACCGUACUGUAAACCGACACAGGUAGACAGGUAGAGAAUACCAAGGCGCUUGAGAGAACUUGGGUGAAGGAACUAGGCAAAAUAGCACCGUAACUUCGGGAGAAGGUGUGCCCUUGGUAGGUGAAAGUUUUACAGCUGGAGCUGAAAAGGGUUGCAAUAACUAGGUGGCUGAGACUGUUUACUAAAAACACAGCACUCUGCAAACUCGCAAGAGGACGUAUAGGGUGUGACGCCUGCCCGGUGCCGGAAGGUUAAAUGAUAGGGUUAGUCUUUAGACGAAGCUCUAGAGUGAAGCCCCGGUGAACGGCGGCCGUAACUAUAACGGUUAUCUAUAUGUUUAUAUGUAUUAUAUUUAUUUUAUAUAUUUAUUCUACCUCUAUAGUGGCUGUUAUAAAAUUUGGCUAUAUGCUGGAAACUCCGAGUAUCCUGCAGUACUCACUUUACAUAAUUAAAAAUACCUUAAACAUUAAGUUAUUGGGUUAAUUUAUUGAGUUAAUUUUACGGGGUAGUUUUAUGCGAAGUAGUAACAAUCUGACAGGUGCGGACAAUCAGCAGGAAAGAUUGAAAUUAAUUGAUGUGAAAAUUAACUUCAGAAUCCUCAGAGACUACAUGCCGGACACUAAUGCUUCAUUAGUGAAGAUAUAGUCCGACCUCUAUGGCGACAUGGAGAAUCUGGCGGAAAUGACCAGAUCUUUUUCGAUUUUUGAUUUUGAUAAUCAAAGUAUGGGAAAGUAACAAACUGCCUAAGGUAGAAAAUGUGAUGUCUUAAUAUCGCUGCUUUAGUAAAAUUUGGCUAUAUGCUGGAAACUCCGAGUAUCCUGCAGUACUCACUUUACAUAAUUAAAAAUACCUUAAACAUUAAGUUAUUGGGUUAAUUUAUUGAGUUAAUUUUACGGGGUAGUUUUAUGCGAAGUAGUAACAAUCUGACAGGUGCGGACAAUCAGCAGGAAAGAUUGAAAUUAAUUGAUGUGAAAAUUAACUUCAGAAUCCUCAGAGACUACAUGCCGGACACUAAUGCUUCAUUAGUGAAGAUAUAGUCCCGUCUGCAUGGCGACAUGCAGGAAAAGUAAGAUGCUUUUUACUUUUCGGCUUGUUCAAUUUGUAUUGAAUAUAAGUCAAGAUUACAAGCGAAAUUCCUUGUCGGGUAAGUUCCGACCUGCACGAAUGGCGUAACGAUGGCCACACUGUCUCCACCCAAGACUCAGUGAAAUUGAAAUCGCUGUGAAGAUGCAGCGUACCCGCGGCUAGACGGAAAGACCCCGUGAACCUUUACUAUAGCUUUACACUGAACUUUGAAUAUGUCUGUGUAGGAUAGGUGGGAGACUUCGAAGCUGGAGCGCCAGCUUCAGUGGAGUCGACCUUGAAAUACCACCCUGACGUGUUUUGGGUUCUAACCUUGAUCCGUUAUCCGGGUCGGAGACAGUGUAUGGUGGGUAGUUUGACUGGGGCGGUCUCCUCCUAAAGAGUAACGGAGGAGCACAAAGGUACCCUCAGCACGGUCGGAAAUCGUGCAAUGUGUGCAAAGGCAUAAGGGUGCUUGACUGCGAGACAAACAAGUCGAGCAGGUACGAAAGUAGGUCUUAGUGAUCCGGUGGUCCUUUAUGGAAAGGCCAUCGCUCAACGGAUAAAAGGUACUCCGGGGAUAACAGGCUAAUACCACCCAAGAGUUCAUAUCGACGGUGGUGUUUGGCACCUUGA
Molecule: ribosomal RNA, 3293 nt
Filed under: Coxiella endosymbiont of Amblyomma nuttalli
Lineage: Bacteria; Pseudomonadati; Pseudomonadota; Gammaproteobacteria; Legionellales; Coxiellaceae
Description: 23S ribosomal RNA
Rfam family: Bacterial large subunit ribosomal RNA
Source: RNAcentral